This 754-nucleotide ribosomal RNA is filed under the name uncultured bacterium. RNAcentral describes it as "bacterial SSU rRNA". It matches the Rfam family "Bacterial small subunit ribosomal RNA", at positions 68 to 855 of the family's 1533-position model. The record is from RNAcentral.
GAGAAAGUGGAGCAACCCAUGAGUACAGCGGCGAACGGGUGAGUAACACGUGGGUAAUCUACCUUCGAGUGGGGAAUAACCCUGGGAAACCGGGGCUAAUACCGCAUAAACCUGAGAAGGGAAAGCAGAAAGGCGCUAAAAGAGGAGCCCGCGGCCGAUUAGCUAGUUGGUGAGGUAAAGGCUCACCAAGGCGGGGAUCGGUAGCCGGCCUGAGAGGGCACACGGCCACACUGGCACUGAAACACGGGCCAGACUCCUACGGGAGGCAGCAGUGGGGAAUCUUGCACAAUGGAGGCAACUCUGAUGCAGCGACGCCGCGUGAGCGAUGAAGCCCUUCGGGGUGUAAAGCUCUUUCGGCAGGGACGAUAAUGACGGUACCGGAAGAAGAAGCUGCGGCUAACUACGUGCCAGCAGCCGCGGUAAUACGUAGGCAGCGAGCGUUGUUCGGAAUUACUGGGCGUAAAGAGUGUGUAGGCGGUGAUCUAAGUUCGGUGUGAAAUCUCCCGGCUCAACUGGGAGGGUGCGCCGGAAACUGGAGUGCUUGAGCGUGGGAGAGGAAAGCGGAAUUCCUGGUGUAGCGGUGAAAUGCGUAGAUAUCAGGAGGAACACCGGUGGUGUAGACGGCUUUCUGGACCAAAGCUGACGCUGAGACACGAAAGCGUGGGUAGCAAACAGGAUUAGAUACCCUGGUAGUCCACGCCCUAAACGAUGCAUACUUGGUGUCGGCCAUUCAGUUGGUCGGUGCCGGAGCUAA